RNAcentral lists this unclassified non-coding RNA (376 nucleotides) under uncultured bacterium. RNAcentral describes it as "contains 16S-23S intergenic spacer region". The record is from RNAcentral.
UCACUACUUGCGUAGGCAGUCUUCUUAGAGUGCCCAGCAUUACCUGUUGGCAACUAAGAACGAGGGUUGCGCUCGUUGCGGGACUUAACCCAACGCCUCACGGCACGAGCUGACGACAGCCAUGCAGCACCUGUACAAGCUCACCUUGCGGGCACAACCACCUUUCAGCAGCCUUCCGGACAUGUCAAGGGUAGGUAAGGUUGUUCGCGUUGCAUCGAAUUAAUCCACAUCAUCCACCGCUUGUGCGGGUCCCCGUCAAUUCCUUUGAGUUUUAAUCUUGCGAUCGUACUUCCCAGGUGGAUUACUUAAUGCUUUCGCUCAGACACCAACAGUGUAUCGCUGAUGUCGAGUAAUCAUCGUUUAGGGCGUGGACUAC